This 437-nucleotide long non-coding RNA is filed under the name Callithrix jacchus (white-tufted-ear marmoset). RNAcentral's name for it is "lncRNA (ENSCJAG00000070373.1)". Lineage: Eukaryota; Metazoa; Chordata; Mammalia; Primates; Cebidae. The record is from RNAcentral.
AUCUCCCUGACCAACUAAAACUAGGGGUUUAUAUACCAUGGAAGAAAUGUAGCAAUGUCUAAGAAAACAGGAACAAGGGAGGGGCAAGGAAGCAAUCAUUAUGAAUAAGGGGUCUGGCAUUUCAUAGUCUAGAUGUGGUGAUCUGGUAAGCUUCAGUUCUUUGAUACUUUUUUUUUUCAGAGGCCUGGGGAUGCUUUUCUGAAUAAGAAACUACGAUAAAACAAAUCACAAGAUCCAGCAUGCAGUAAGAAAUGACCAGACAUAUGAGCAUAUGAGAUGAGAAGACAUUGAUGAAAAUCAAUAGAACAAAUUAGACCAUGGAGAUAAAACGAGAGACAAUUAACAACCACAUGAUCAUCACAUUAUUGUCUACCGACAUUCCUGUUGUGGAGAGGCCCUCUCCUGCCCUGCUCAUGCCUUACUAGCUACCUACUGCA